UACGGGGGGGGUAAGCGUUGUUCGGAAUUACUGGGCGUAAAGGGCUCGUAGGCGGCCAACUAAGUCAUACGUGAAAUCCCUCAGCUUAACUGGGGAACUGCGUGCGAUACUGGAUGGCUUGGAUUUGGGAGAGGGAUGCGGAAUUCCAGGUGUAGCGGUGAAAUGCGUAGAUAUCUGGAGGAACACCGGUGGCGAAGGCGGCAUCCUGGACCAAUAUUGACGCUGAGGAGCGAAAGCUAGGGGAGCAAACGGG
Molecule: ribosomal RNA, 253 nt
Filed under: uncultured bacterium
Lineage: Bacteria
Description: partial 16S ribosomal RNA
Rfam family: Bacterial small subunit ribosomal RNA
Source: RNAcentral